Molecule: ribosomal RNA, 493 nt
Filed under: uncultured bacterium
Lineage: Bacteria
Description: partial 16S ribosomal RNA
Rfam family: Bacterial small subunit ribosomal RNA
Source: RNAcentral
ACGCACGCUGGCGGCGUGCUUCACACCUGCCAGUCGAACGGUGAAGCGCCUUCCUUUUUGGUGGGUGUGGAUGAGUGGCGAACGGGUGAGUAACACGUGAGUAACCUGCCCCCUUCUUCUGGAUAACCGCAUGAAAGUGUGGCUAAUACGGGAUAUUCUGGGUCUGUCGCAUGAUGGGUCUGGGAAAGAUAUUGUUUCGGUGGGGGAUGGGCUCGCGGCCUAUCAGCUUGUUGGUGGGGUGAUGGCCUACCAAGGCGGUGACGGGUAGCCGGCCUGAGAGGGUGGACGGUCACACUGGGACUGAGACACGGCCCAGACUCCGACGGGAGGCAGCAGUGGGGAAUAGUGCACAAUGGGCGCAAGCCUGAUGCAGCGACGCCGCGUGAGGGAUGGAGGCCUUCGGGUUGUGAACCUCUUUCGCCAGUGAAGCAGGCCUGCCUCGUUUGUGGGUGGGUUGACGGUAGCUGGAUAAGAAGCGCCGGCUAACUACGUG